CCUACGGGUGACAGCAGUGGGGAAUAUUGGGCAAUGGAGGAAACUCUGACCCAGCAACGCCGCGUGAAUGAUGAAGGUCUUCGGAUUUGAAAGCUCUUUUCUAAGGGGAGUAGAAAGUGACGGUACCUUAGGAAUAAGUAUCGGCUAACUACGUGCCAGCAGCCGCGGUAAUACGUAGGAGGCGAGCGUUAUCCGGAAUGACUGGGCGUAAAGGGUGCGUAGGGGGUUUGUCAAGUUAGUGGCGAAACUCCAAGGCUCAACCUUGGAACUACUACUAAAACUGUGGGACUUGAGUGCAGGAGGGGCAACCGGAAUUCAUGGUGUAGCGGUGGAAUGCGUAGAUAUUAGGAGGAACACCAGUGGCGAAGGCGGGUUUCUAGACUGUAACUGACACUGAGGCACGAAAGCGUGGGGAGCAAACAGGAUUAGAUACCCCUGUAGUC
RNAcentral lists this ribosomal RNA (443 nucleotides) under uncultured bacterium. Its description in RNAcentral is "partial 16S ribosomal RNA". It matches the Rfam family "Bacterial small subunit ribosomal RNA", at positions 338 to 795 of the family's 1533-position model. The record is from RNAcentral.